GGGUUGUGAGGUUAAGCGACUAAGCGUACACGGUGGAUGCCCUGGCAGUCAGAGGCGAUGAAGGGCGUGCUAAUCUGCGAUAAGCGCCGGUAAGGUGAUAUGAACCGUUAUAACCGGCGAUACCCGAAUGGGGAAACCCAGUGUGACUCGUCACACUAUCAUUAACUGAAUCCAUAGGUUAAUGAGGCGAACCGGGGGAACUGAAACAUCUAAGUACCCCGAGGAAAAGAAAUCAACCGAGAUUCCCCCAGUAGCGGCGAGCGAACGGGGAGGAGCCCAGAGCCUGAAUCAGCAUGUGUGUUAGUGGAAGCGUCUGGAAAGGCGCGCGAUACAGGGUGACAGCCCCGUACACAAAAGCGCAUGUGCUGUGAGCUCGAUGAGUAGGGCGGGACACGUGGUAUCCUGUCUGAAUAUGGGGGGACCAUCCUCCAAGGCUAAAUACUCCUGACUGACCGAUAGUGAACCAGUACCGUGAGGGAAAGGCGAAAAGAACCCCGGCGAGGGGAGUGAAAAAGAACCUGAAACCGUGUACGUACAAGCAGUGGGAGCACCCUUCGGGGUGUGACUGCGUACCUUUUGUAUAAUGGGUCAGCGACUUAUAUUCUGUAGCAAGGUUAACCGUAUAGGGGAGCCGGAGGGAAACCGAGUCUUAACCGGGCGUUAAGUUGCAGGGUAUAGACCCGAAACCCGGUGAUCUAGCCAUGGGCAGGUUGAAGGUUGGGUAACACUAACUGGAGGACCGAACCGACUAAUGUUGAAAAAUUAGCGGAUGACCUGUGGCUGGGGGUGAAAGGCCAAUCAAACCGGGAGAUAGCUGGUUCUCCCCGAAAGCUAUUUAGGUAGCGCCUCGUGAAUUCAUCUCCGGGGGUAGAGCACUGUUUCGGCUAGGGGGCCAUCCCGGCUUACCAACCCGAUGCAAACUGCGAAUACCGGAGAAUGUUAUCACGGGAGACACACGGCGGGUGCUAACGUCCGUCGUGAAGAGGGAAACAACCCAGACCGCCAGCUAAGGUCCCAAAGUCAUGGUUAAGUGGGAAACGAUGUGGGAAGGCCCAGACAGCCAGGAUGUUGGCUUAGAAGCAGCCAUCAUUUAAAGAAAGCGUAAUAGCUCACUGGUCGAGUCGGCCUGCGCGGAAGAUGUAACGGGGCUAAACCAUGCACCGAAGCUGCGGCAGCGAACGUAUCACCCAAGACAACUUUACGGAGUUGACGAUUGACGGAGCGAAGCGACGUCAAAGCGUUCAUUAAAGUCGAGUUGGCUUAGGGAUACGUUCGUUGGGUAGGGGAGCGUUCUGUAAGCCUGUGAAGGUGUGUCGUGAGGCAUGCUGGAGGUAUCAGAAGUGCGAAUGCUGACAUAAGUAACGAUAAAGCGGGUGAAAAGCCCGCUCGCCGGAAGACCAAGGGUUCCUGUCCAACGUUAAUCGGGGCAGGGUGAGUCGACCCCUAAGGCGAGGCCGAAAGGCGUAGUCGAUGGGAAACGGGUUAAUAUUCCCGUACUUGGUGUUACUGCGAAGGGGGGACGGAGAAGGCUAUGUUGGCCGGGCGACGGUUGUCCCGGUUUAAGCGUGUAGGUGUGUGUUCCAGGUAAAUCCGGUU
This 1596-nucleotide ribosomal RNA is filed under the name Salmonella enterica subsp. enterica serovar Typhimurium. RNAcentral's name for it is "partial 23S ribosomal RNA". It matches the Rfam family "Bacterial large subunit ribosomal RNA", at positions 1 to 1547 of the family's 2925-position model. The record is from RNAcentral. Lineage: Bacteria; Pseudomonadati; Pseudomonadota; Gammaproteobacteria; Enterobacterales; Enterobacteriaceae.